Molecule: long non-coding RNA, 865 nt
Filed under: Bemisia tabaci
Lineage: Eukaryota; Metazoa; Arthropoda; Insecta; Hemiptera; Aleyrodidae
Description: lncRNA ENSSSA2NGG001510
Source: RNAcentral
ACCCGCAGAUGCCUCCGCGUCCUCCAACCGCGCGCACGUUCCACCCUCGGUGAGUCGCGCCGCGUCGCCUUGUGCUCGUGCUCGUGCUCGCGCUGUGCGUCUUGGCGCGCCACCCGCCGACGAGCGGCUCUUGACAUAGUUGCAUCUCGCCGAGUGCACACGGGUCCACUUCCGCCCGACCCGACGUCUCCACGACCGAGUGUGUAUCGCGGGAAACAGGGCGCCUGUUUUUGCCGGGAAAUUGCGUAAACAGGGGAAAAUCAUACACAAACAUAGAAGGAAGCGUGCGGUGCUUCAUGGAACGGUCUGUCUCUUUGACCAUCCGAUGUUGGUCCAGCGUCGCGCCUAGUGACUGGAUGUGAGCUCUACCAUUCGAUCGGACUCCGAGUAUGUGUUGAACACCCGAGUGCGUGCGGGGACUAUGAGGUGGACAUUCGGCGUGGUUCGAUGACAGAAUGUCGGACAAAGGGGGGCCACGGAGCCGCUGGUCCCUGUACGACAUCUUCAAAGGCGGCAGCGAGAUCCCUUCGAGCGAGUUCCUGCUCCAAGAGGAGCCCUACCGGACCCCGCCCAUCGUCCGGGUCAACUUCUCGCCGGGGAUAGAGAGGCCGCCAGGGUCCUCGCGCCGCGCCUCCAGGGUCGUCCAGCAGCUGAGGAGGACCUCCCGAAGCAUGAGCGCCUGGAGCGACAUCAGCCGGUCCAGCUGGAAGCUUGAUGACAGGUGAGUACAGAAUAUGGUACGCGCCACUCAAACCCUUUUCAGUGGCGAUUCAUGUGUGAGUUAUGUACAAUUUAAUUUAAUUGUCGUAAACAUGUAUAUCAACGUGUGAUCUCAUUUAUGGACUGUUCUCCCGGAACUUGAUUG